This 465-nucleotide ribosomal RNA is filed under the name uncultured bacterium. RNAcentral describes it as "bacterial SSU rRNA". It matches the Rfam family "Bacterial small subunit ribosomal RNA", at positions 338 to 795 of the family's 1533-position model. The record is from RNAcentral.
CCUACGGGUUGCAGCAGUGGGGAAUAUUGCACAAUGGGCGCAAGCCUGAUGCAGCCAUGCCGCGUGUAUGAAGAAGGCCUUCGGGUUGUAAAGUACUUUCAGCGGGGAGGAAGGUGUUGUGGUUAAUAACCACAGCAAUUGACGUUUCCCGCAGAAGAAGCACCGGCUAACUCCGUGCCAGCAGCCGCGGUAAUACGGAGGGUGCAAGCGUUAAUCGGAAUUACUGGGCGUAAAGCGCACGCAGGCGGUCUGUCAAGUCGGAUGUGAAAUCCCCGGGCUCAACCUGGGAACUGCAUUCGAAACUGGCAGGCUAGAGUCUUGUAGAGGGGGGUAGAAUUCCAGAUGUAGCGGUGAAAUGCGUAGAGAUCUGGAGGAAUACCGGUGGCGAAGGCGGCCCCCUGGACAAAGACUGACGCUCAGGUGCGAGAGCGUGGGGAGCAAACAGGAUUAGAUACCCCAGUAGUC